UGCAAAAAAUAAAUCCCCUUUUGCAAUCCAGAACUCAUUGUUCAGUAUGAAUUCUGAUACAUAUAAACAGGAAUACU
This 77-nucleotide small nucleolar RNA is filed under the name Ictidomys tridecemlineatus (thirteen-lined ground squirrel). Its description in RNAcentral is "Spermophilus tridecemlineatus (thirteen-lined ground squirrel) Small nucleolar RNA SNORA40". It matches the Rfam family "Small nucleolar RNA SNORA40", at positions 52 to 128 of the family's 128-position model. Rfam says of the family: The snoRNA ACA 40 belongs to the H/ACA family of snoRNAs and guides the pseudouridylation of 28S rRNA subunit at position U4565. NB This family has a high threshold value to exclude a large number of closely related sequences that do not appear to have conserved H and ACA boxes, and may be pseudogenes. RNAcentral also lists the same sequence under 1 other name. The record is from Rfam by way of RNAcentral. Lineage: Eukaryota; Metazoa; Chordata; Mammalia; Rodentia; Sciuridae.